This 265-nucleotide ribosomal RNA is filed under the name uncultured bacterium. RNAcentral's name for it is "partial 16S ribosomal RNA". It matches the Rfam family "Bacterial small subunit ribosomal RNA", at positions 57 to 305 of the family's 1533-position model. The record is from RNAcentral.
GCAAGUUGAACGAGAAGCUUAUGAUUGAUCCUUCGGGUGAUUUGAUGAGUGGACAGUAGCGAAAGGGUGAGUAACGCGUGAGCAACCUGCCUCUAUGUCGGGGACAACAGUUGGAAACGACUGCUAAUACCGGAUGUGGCUUCUUUACCGCAUGAUUUAGAAGCUAAAGAUUUAUUGCAUAGAGAUGGGCUCGCGUUCCAUUAGCUAGUUGGUGAGGUAACGGCUCACCAAGGCGACGAUGGAUAGGUGGUCUGAGAGGACGAUC